Molecule: small RNA, 125 nt
Filed under: Marmota monax (woodchuck)
Lineage: Eukaryota; Metazoa; Chordata; Mammalia; Rodentia; Sciuridae
Source: RNAcentral
GCUGGGUGUGGUAGUGCACGCCUGUAAUCCCAGUAGCUACAGAAGCUGAGACAAGAGAAUCACAAGUUCAAAGUCAGCCUCAGCAACAGUGAGGCACUAAGGAACUCAGUGAGUCCCUGUCUCUA